RNAcentral lists this ribosomal RNA (250 nucleotides) under uncultured bacterium. Its description in RNAcentral is "partial 16S ribosomal RNA". It matches the Rfam family "Bacterial small subunit ribosomal RNA", at positions 524 to 773 of the family's 1533-position model. The record is from RNAcentral.
UACGGAGGAUCCGAGCGUUAUCCGGAUUUAUUGGGUUUAAAGGGUGCGUAGGCGGUUUAUUAAGUCAGUGGUGAAAUCAUCGGGCUCAACCCGGUCAUUGCCAUUGAUACUGGUAGACUUGAGUACAAAUGAUGUGGGUGGAAUUGGACAAGUAGCGGUGAAAUGCAUAGAUAUGUCCAGGAACUCCGAUUGCGAAGGCAGCUCACAAAGAUGUAACUGACGCUGAUGCACGAAAGCGUGGGUAGCGAAC